UGCUAAACUUGGCGCCUUCGAAUACAAAGGAACGAGAAAAAACAUUAAAUAAGGAAUUACCACAACGGAGACACUCUAAUUGAUCUUCUGUACUAGAGUUUUUACUAGAUACAUCAUCUGCAUUCGGUAAAAUGGCUUUCACAUUUGAUAUCGGGUCAACGCUGGUCUGAAUUUCGUGUUCAUUUUGCUCAAUCGUGGCAGCCGUCUUAGCUGCUUCGUUUACGGUGGCACCUGGAUUAUCUAAAUUUGUAAGCGAAUAGUAUACCAUUGAAGAUGCUCCUUCCUGUAACAUCAUCAUGUCAGCUCUCUUUAGGGCUUCAUUUGGAUCCAAAUUUGCAUUCUUCUCUUGAGUAGAAUUCUUCCGUAAACCUACAUGCUCUUCCUCUGGUUCGUCACCCUAAAAAAUUAGUUAACUACAAAAAAGAUAUUCUUACCUUCUUGAUAUCAUCAUUUCCGUUGUUUUCGUUGUUCGUAAUCUGCGAUGCAUUUUUCUUAUGCCGAAGUGAAAAAUGCCUUUUAGGGGAACUAAUUGAAUUCAUAUGUGCCUUAAGAGCUUGAGGAAAGAAGGAAGAGUUGCUUAGAGUUUCACUAUUUUUCCUCUCGAUAUUUUUUUUUUCAAUCAAUUUUCGCGCUGCAAAAACACUAUCUUGUCGAAAAACACGGAUUCGACCAUCUAAAUCACCACAAACAAUUAUGUGUCCCUUCAUAAUUUCUAUGGGAAGAUAGCUAUGUGAUAAAGACUUCAAAUUACGAAGUGAUGGACCUGUUUCGAUGGAAGCGUUAGAAAUUACGGAAGAGCGUCUUGCAGAUAUCGCAGCUAAAUAAACGGGAUCUCCAGAUAAGGUUAAAAGUUGUUUUGUUUUCGUAGGAGCAAAUACUGCAGCUGUUAUAGGUCUUACAGAUGCUUUAAAGUGCUCGUGCUUUUUCUUCUUCGUUUUAUGCAUAUGCUGAGGAGGAAGAUCCCAAAUAAAUACCUGAUGAUCUUCGCUACCGCAUAUAACGUAAUUGCCAUCAUCAUCAAAAUAGGCUCUGUUUUGACUCUGAGCAUUUGCAUGUCCUUUGAAUUUCAAUUCCAAACUUUUAUCUCUAAGGUUGUAUAUGCGAAUUCUCGAAUCAUUAGUAGUGACCAGCAUUUCUGUAUCGCCCGCAAUAUUAUCAAUCAUUUGAGUCCGUGUUUGUAUACCAGUAACUUUGCUUCCCUUUGCAUUCUUCCCUCUAGAACUACGGAUAGACAUCUGAGUGCGAAAUCUAAGUCCCCGCGUGUCGUAAAAUAAACACAAGCCAACAAAGGUACCAGCAAUGGCUAAGCCGCCAUCGGGGCUAAAUGCCACAGCUGUUAUUAAUUCAGGUAAUUCAUUCCAAAAAGAAACGGCCUUCUCCUUAAUCGACCAAAGACGAAGUUUACAAUCUAAGGAGCCAGACAGAAAGAACCUAUCAUCCUUAGGAUGAAACGCAAUUGACGUUACAAAGUCCGAGUGUUCAAAGCAACAAAGACAAUCUUUGCGAACAGGAUGCCAAAGACGAGCUGUUUUGUCCAUUGAAGAACUGAGUAGAAAGUUAUUUCUACUCCAUGAUAAAUCAAGAAUGUCAGCAGUAUGGCCAGCGUACUCUCGAAUAGGAGCUUCAGAAAAGACGGGUGCUUUCAAAUUUAAUUUAGGAUUGUUUGGAUCAGAGCUACACGUCUCAGACGCAACGCUUCGAGCAUGUUCGGAAUCCAAAACCGCCCAAAUACGUAAAAUCCGAUCUUGUCCACCGACAGCAAGAUACCGGCCAUCACGACUAAACUUCAUUGCCCAGAUUGCAUUAUUAGAUGAAUUAGAAGAAGAGUUAGAUGUAAUAGCUACAGCUAAAGUAUCUGAAAUGACGGAUGGUGUACGGUUCAAGGGUGACGACGAGUUAUGUAGGUGAACAGAAGCAUUGGUGAUACUUUGUGCAUCAGCCGUAUGCCGUGAAGAGGAAGGUUCACUUGACUCAUGAGCUAAAUUUGGGAAAUCUGUUGCACGAGGUUCAUAGUAUCGGUCAUGUGUUGCGGCAAGAGUUGGUUUACAGUAUAAUUCCUGAGCUAAAAACAAAUGGUCGAGAGAUUUCUCCUUUUUAUUGUGGGAGAGUACGCGAAUAUAUUUGGGAGGAGAAUCCCACACAUUUUUUCCGUCGGGAAUCCAGGAAAAGGGAUCAGCGGCGUUGCCUUCAACACGAGGAAUACCAUCCCGUUCUUCUUCCGAGGAUUCAUUGUCCAUAUCCUCUCGAAUGCCGAAAAUAUGAGAAGUGCUACCGAGCAUGCGCGAAAACAAAGAGGACCGAUGUUGGCUAGGUUGACGUAUGGCCCCAAAACUUUUCAAGCUCAAUUGAUCGCUUUCCCCUGUAUCAGUCAAAGAUGAUCCAUGAUUACUUUUUCGGCCAGAUACCGUUCUAGUUACGUUGGAAGAGCGAUUGGUUCCCUCUCUCGAUAAAUGGGUGUUCGAACUUGCCCGUGAAGGAUUCAAAAAUGACAGCGUUUUUUCAGAUCUAGUCCGUUUCAUGAUGUGUUUCGACAAGGGGUCUAAGCUAGAGGAACCAUCUCUUAAUAAAUUGGUGUCUGAUGAUAAAUAACGACUUCGUCCAGAGCUGCUGUGAGCUAAUUUACGUUGUUAGUUAUACAUAUCAAAUUGACAUACGUACGCCGGAUUACUAUCGCAAAUUUAAGAACAUGCUAAUAUAAAUCCUUUGCAAAAGCUACUUACCAUCGGCAUGUCCGUUCGCUUCCUCCCUGUCUCCCGGUUUUCCAUGUUCGAAGUUAUGCGUCGCCUGUCUACCAUUGUUCAAGUGGUCAAGGGAAUUCUUUGGCGACUGAAUUUGUAUAUGAGGUAGAUUUCCAUUCAUGAAAUGCUUUUCUUAACUCUAAAAACUCGUUCCUAAACUAGAAAAGGUCUUUGAAGCGGCGUUCUACCGUGUUUGUUGUUUAUGCCCUACUUGAUGUAUUUUCAGACGCUCCAUUGGAAAGGGGGCGCAACGAAUCAGCGUUAUUUAUCAUUACAUAUGUUAUAGUAUGUGCCUAAAUUGUUUACACGGUAGAGCGUGUCGUUAAUUAAAAAAAAGUUUUAGUAAAAUAGCUGGGAUAAAGAGAAUUUCCCGUUUAAAAUCUCUAAUAAAAUGAAACAUUUGGUUGCUCCGUGGUACCGCUUUAACAGAGACGAACUGAUUUUCGAGAGGUCAAUUUGCACUUCCUAUGCCACUAUGUUGAAGUUGCAACUCGUACCUGUAGAUUCGGCAUAAAGCAUUUGCUUAGAAAAGCAGAAUAAGUCAAUAUUUAAAGCUAUCUGCAAGGGUUUUUGAGCAAGCCCGCUACGGUGAGGUUUAUUUACAUUAAGCAACGUGAUCUUUUAUAGUAACGUAUACCUUCGCAACGAUAUGUUUAUAUACCCUUUAAUGCCAUUAAUAGAACAAUAUUAUAAUAUGUUUAUUGUUGUAAAAUUUUUGUAUAAGGAUAUAUCAUAGUCGGUACAAAUUCGUUUUUGACACAGACCAUUCUAAA
Molecule: long non-coding RNA, 3511 nt
Filed under: Schizosaccharomyces pombe (fission yeast)
Lineage: Eukaryota; Fungi; Ascomycota; Schizosaccharomycetes; Schizosaccharomycetales; Schizosaccharomycetaceae
Source: RNAcentral